RNAcentral lists this ribosomal RNA (428 nucleotides) under uncultured bacterium. RNAcentral describes it as "partial 16S ribosomal RNA". It matches the Rfam family "Bacterial small subunit ribosomal RNA", at positions 354 to 796 of the family's 1533-position model. The record is from RNAcentral.
GUGGGGAAUAUUGGGCAAUGGGCGCAAGCCUGACCCAGCAACGCCGCGUGAGGGAAGAAGGCUUUCGGGUUGUAAACCUCUGUCCUUGGUGACGAAAAAAAUGACGGUAGCCAAGGAGGAAGCCCCGGCUAACUACGUGCCAGCAGCCGCGGUAAUACGUAGGGGGCGAGCGUUGUCCGGAAUUACUGGGCGUAAAGGGUGCGUAGGUGGCCUUUUAAGUUGGAUGUGAAAUACCCGGGCUUAACUUGGGGGGUGCAUCCAAAACUGGGAGGCUAGAGUGCAGGAGAGGAAAGCGGAAUUCCUAGUGUAGCGGUGAAAUGCGUAGAUAUUAGGAGGAACACCAGUGGCGAAGGCGGCUUUCUGGACUGUAACUGACACUGAGGCACGAAAGCGUGGGGAGCAAACAGGAUUAGAAACCCGGGUAGUCC